RNAcentral lists this ribosomal RNA (253 nucleotides) under uncultured bacterium. Its description in RNAcentral is "partial 16S ribosomal RNA". It matches the Rfam family "Bacterial small subunit ribosomal RNA", at positions 524 to 776 of the family's 1533-position model. The record is from RNAcentral.
UACGUAGGUGACCAGCGUUGUCCGGAUUUACUGGGCGUAAAGAGCGCGCAGGCGGUCGUUCAAGUCGAGUGUGAAAGCCCCCGGCUCAACUGGGGAGGGUCAUUCGAUACUGAUCGACUUGAAGGCAGGAGAGGGAAGUGGAAUUCCCGGUGUAGUGGUGAAAUGCGCAGAUAUCAGGAGGAACACCGGUGGCGAAGGCGGUUCUCUGGGCAUGUCCUGACGCUGAGGAGCGAAAGUGUGGGGAGCGAACAGG